GUGCUCGCUUCGGCAGCACGUGUCCUAGACCUGGAACGACACAGAGACGGUUAGCAUGGCCCCUGAGCAAGGACGACACGCAAAUUCAUGAAGCGUUCCAUAUUUGA
This 107-nucleotide small nuclear RNA is filed under the name Dasypus novemcinctus (nine-banded armadillo). Lineage: Eukaryota; Metazoa; Chordata; Mammalia; Cingulata; Dasypodidae. The record is from RNAcentral.